GGUGCUGUGGCUUAGCGGUUAAAGCGCCUGUCUUGUAAACAGGAUAUCCUGGGUUACAAUCCCAGCAGCACCU
Molecule: non-coding RNA, 73 nt
Organism: Scomber scombrus (Atlantic mackerel)
Lineage: Eukaryota; Metazoa; Chordata; Actinopteri; Scombriformes; Scombridae
Source: the annotation of a RefSeq genome assembly